This 618-nucleotide ribosomal RNA is filed under the name Lactococcus lactis. Its description in RNAcentral is "bacterial SSU rRNA". It matches the Rfam family "Bacterial small subunit ribosomal RNA", at positions 74 to 681 of the family's 1533-position model. The record is from RNAcentral. Lineage: Bacteria; Bacillati; Bacillota; Bacilli; Lactobacillales; Streptococcaceae.
CUUGUACCGACUGGAUGAGCAGCGAACGGGUGAGUAACGCGUGGGGAAUCUGCCUUUGAGCGGGGGACAACAUUUGGAAACGAAUGCUAAUACCGCAUAAAAACUUUAAACACAAGUUUUAAGUUUGAAAGAUGCAAUUGCAUCACUCAAAGAUGAUCCCGCGUUGUAUUAGCUAGUUGGUGAGGUAAAGGCUCACCAAGGCGAUGAUACAUAGCCGACCUGAGAGGGUGAUCGGCCACAUUGGGACUGAGACACGGCCCAAACUCCUACGGGAGGCAGCAGUAGGGAAUCUUCGGCAAUGGACGAAAGUCUGACCGAGCAACGCCGCGUGAGUGAAGAAGGUUUUCGGAUCGUAAAACUCUGUUGGUAGAGAAGAACGUUGGUGAGAGUGGAAAGCUCAUCAAGUGACGGUAACUACCCAGAAAGGGACGGCUAACUACGUGCCAGCAGCCGCGGUAAUACGUAGGUCCCGAGCGUUGUCCGGAUUUAUUGGGCGUAAAGCGAGCGCAGGUGGUUUAUUAAGUCUGGUGUAAAAGGCAGUGGCUCAACCAUUGUAUGCAUUGGAAACUGGUAGACUUGAGUGCAGGAGAGGAGAGUGGAAUUCCAUGUGGUUAGCGG